Molecule: ribosomal RNA, 879 nt
Filed under: Bacillota bacterium
Lineage: Bacteria; Bacillati; Bacillota
Description: partial 23S ribosomal RNA
Rfam family: Bacterial large subunit ribosomal RNA
Source: RNAcentral
GGAUAAGAUAGGAAGGGCGCACGGAGGAUGCCUAGGCGCCAAGUGCCGAAGAAGGACGGGGCGAACACCGAAAUGCCUCGGGGAGCCGUACGCAGGCAAUGAUCCGAGGGUAUCCGAAUGGGGGAACCCCUCUUCCGUGAUGGGAAGAGACCGUAUACUGAAUACAUAGGUAUACGGAGGGCACCGAGGGAACUGAAACAUCUCAGUACCUCGAGGAAGAGAAAACAAGCGUGAUUCCCGAAGUAGCGGCGAGCGAACCGGGAAGAGUCCAAACUAUUGUACGUGUAAGCCUGCAAGCGUUGCGUACAGAGGGUAGCGGGGCAUUGGAGCGAGUUCUUGCAGGGACUCGGGCAGAUGAUGGACAGUGUAGGAGAACGGCAUGGGAAGGCCGGUCGCAGAGGGUGAGAGCCCCGUAUCCGACACGCUGUGCACAGUGUUUACAAUGACCCCAAGUAGGGCGGGACACGAGGAAUCCCGUUUGAAUCUGGGAGGACCACCUUCUAAGACUAAAUACGCUUGGCGACCGAUAGUGCAGAAGUACCGUGAGGGAAAGGUGAAAAGCACCGCGGGAGCGGAGUGAAAGAGAACCUGAAACCGUGUGCCUACAAGCAGUCGGAGCAUCUAUAGGGUGUGACGGCGUGCCUUUUGUAGAAUGAACCGGCGAGUGUCGAUGGCAAGCGAGGUUAAGGCUGAGAGGCCGGAGCCGAAGCGAAAGCGCGUCUGAAGAGGGCGGAAGUUUGUCGUCGACGACCCGAAACCGUGUGAUCUACCCCUGUCCAGGGUGAAGUGGCGGUAACACGCUAUGGAGGCCCGAACCCACUGACGUUGAAAAGUCAGGGGAUGAGGUGGGGGUAGGGGAGAAAUUCCAAUCGAACACGG